AUUGAACGCUGGCGGCAGGCCUAACACAUGCAAGUCGUACGGUAGCACAGGGGAGCUUGCUCCUCGGGUGACGAGUGGCGGACGGGUGAGUAAUGUCUGGGGAUCUGCCCGAUAGAGGGGGAUAACCACUGGAAACGGUUGCUAAUACCGCAUAAUGUCGCAAGACCAAAGAGGGGGACCUUCGGGUCUCUCACUAUCGGAUGACCCCAGAUGGGAUUAGCUAGUAGGCGGGGUAACGGCCCACCUAGGCGACGAUCCCUAGCUGGUCUGAGAGGAUGACCAGCCACACUGGAACUGAGACACGGUCCAGACUCCUACGGGAGGCAGCAGUGGGGAAUAUUGCACAAUGGGCGCAAGCCUGAUGCAGCCAUGCCGCGUGUAUGAAGAAGGCCUUCGGGUUGUAAAGUACUUUCAGCGGGGAGGAAGGCGAUGUGGUUAAUAACCGCGUCGAUUGACGUUACCCGCAGAAGAAGCACCGGCUAACUCCGUGCCAGCCGCCGCCGUAA
RNAcentral lists this ribosomal RNA (506 nucleotides) under uncultured bacterium. Its description in RNAcentral is "partial 16S ribosomal RNA". It matches the Rfam family "Bacterial small subunit ribosomal RNA", at positions 30 to 523 of the family's 1533-position model. The record is from RNAcentral.